CAGGAUGCACCUGAGCUCAAUUUCGAGUCUCAUCGCAAAAGGUCUGAAUACUUAUGUUAAAUAAAGGUAUUUCUGUUUUUUAUAGAUUUACAGAAAUGUAUCUAAACCUGUUUUCACUCUGUCAUCAUGGGCUAUUGUUUAAGCGUUGUGAGGAUUAUUAUUUUAUUUUUAAAAUCCAUUUUAGAAUGAGGCUGAAUAAUACUUUCUGAAAGCGCUGAAUACCUGGAUAACCAGACGUCUAAGGUCACCUGGAUAACCAGACGUCUAAGGUCACCUGGAUAACCAGACGUCUAAGGUCACCUGGAUAACCAGACGUCUAAGGUCACCUGGAUAACCAGACGUCUAAGGUCACCUGGAUAACCAGACGUCUAAGGUCACCUGGAUAACCAGACGACUAAGGUCACCUGGAUAACCAGACGUCUAAGGUCUCGACUCGCUAGUUAAUCAGUUAUAUGAAUGGAUCAGUUAAGUACCACGGAGAGAUGAAGAGGCAGGACUGUGUGCUCCUAGUAGUACUAGUUGUAGCUGGGGUGUAGAUCCCUCAGUUGUCCAUCCCUACUAGGGUUGCAAAACUCCAGGAACUUGUUUUUCCAGACAUCCCGGUUGGAGGAUUCACAGAAUCUGAAGGGAAUAAGAAGGAAAUCUGGAGCCCUCCAACCAGGAUUUCUGGAAAACCAGGGAAUUUAUUGAAAGUUCCUGGAGUUUUGCAACCCUUUCCCUUCUCUAAGCAGACAUGGCAUGUACUCUACAUCAUCGGUACUUGGUCUCUAAAUCCAUGAACUGAGGGAAGACUAAGAAGUCCAUUCGUUUCAUACACAAUGUUUUUAUUUGGGUCGUAUGUCUUCGUGUGCACGUUGUGUUUGUAUUUGGGUCGUAUGUCUUCGUGUGCACGUUGUGUUUGUAUUUGGGUCGUAUGUCUUCGUGUGCACGUUGUGUUUGUAUUUGGGUCGUAUGUCUUCGUGUGCAUCUGCACGUUGUGUUUGUAUUUGGGUCGUAUGUCUUCGUGUGCACGUUGUGUUUGUAUUUGGGUCGUAUGUCUUCGUGUGCAUCUGCACGUUGUGUUUGUAUUUGGGUCGUAUGUCUUCGUGUGCAUGUUGUUUUAUUUGUUUUUAUUGGUCCAAACUAAAUAUACUGUAAGUAUAUUGUCUGUGCUCUUGUUGUUGAUGCAUUGGAUUGUGUAUAGGGUAUUCUACAUAUGCUAUUUUAAUGGGAUAUUAUCACUCUGGAAAUAAGGGAAUUGGGGCUUUGCUGCUUCUUCAGACUGAUUUGAAUAAAUGUUUUAUACUGUUUAA
This is a long non-coding RNA of Oncorhynchus tshawytscha (Chinook salmon), 1292 nucleotides long. RefSeq lists it as uncharacterized. Lineage: Eukaryota; Metazoa; Chordata; Actinopteri; Salmoniformes; Salmonidae. The record is from RefSeq and is a predicted model, not a curated record. The transcript is spliced from 2 exons.